Small nucleolar RNA from Vigna umbellata (rice bean), 133 nucleotides. RefSeq annotates it as small nucleolar RNA snoR136. The record is from RefSeq and is a predicted model, not a curated record. Lineage: Eukaryota; Viridiplantae; Streptophyta; Magnoliopsida; Fabales; Fabaceae.
GUCUUUCUUAGAGACUUUUUGCGUCACGUUUCACAAUUUGUUCUGGCAAUCUUUAACUGAAUACAAUGUGCAUUUCCCUCGCUAUCCAAUGUAGCAAUUUGAUGCUGCAAUUGGACGUCGGGGAACAAAAUCC